This 382-nucleotide ribosomal RNA is filed under the name uncultured eukaryote. RNAcentral describes it as "partial 18S ribosomal RNA". It matches the Rfam family "Eukaryotic small subunit ribosomal RNA", at positions 592 to 976 of the family's 1831-position model. The record is from RNAcentral.
CAAUAGCGUAUAUUAAAGUUGUUGCAGUUAAAAAGCUCGUAGUUGGAUUUCUGGUUGAAGCGACCGGUCGGGCGUUGAUUCGUCUGCACUGGAGUCGGUUUUGGCCAUCCUCUAGGAAAGUGCGUCUGGUAUUAAGUUAUCGGGCGUAUGAUCCUGGUCUUUUACGGUGAAAAAAUUAGAGUGUUUAAAGCAGGCCUUCGCCUUGAAUACAUUAGCAUGGAAUAAUAAGAUAGGACUUUGGUCUAUUUUGUUGGUUUGCAGACCGAAGUAAUGAUUAAUAGGGAUAGUUGGGGGUAUUUAUAUUCCGAUGUCAGAGGUGAAAUUCUUAGAUUUUCGGAAGAUAAACUUAUGCGAAAGCAUUUACCAAGGAUGUUUUCAUUAA